UACGUAGGUGGCAAGCGUUAUCCGGAUUUACUGGGUGUAAAGGGAGCGUAGACGGCUGUGCAAGCCAGAUGUGAAAGCCCGGGGCUCAACCCCGGGACUGCAUUUGGAACUGUGUAGCUGGAGUGUCGGAGAGGCAGGCGGAAUUCCUAGUGUAGCGGUGAAAUGCGUAGAUAUUAGGAGGAACACCAGUGGCGAAGGCGGCCUGCUGGACCGUGACUGACGUUGAGGCUCGAGAGCGUGGGGAGCAAACAGG
RNAcentral lists this ribosomal RNA (253 nucleotides) under uncultured bacterium. Its description in RNAcentral is "partial 16S ribosomal RNA". It matches the Rfam family "Bacterial small subunit ribosomal RNA", at positions 524 to 776 of the family's 1533-position model. The record is from RNAcentral.